AGUGAACGCUGGCGGUAGGCCUAACACAUGCAAGUCGAACGGCAGCACAGGAGAGCUUGCUCUCUGGGUGGCGAGUGGCGGACGGGUGAGGAAUACAUCGGAAUCUACUCUGUCGUGGGGGAUAACGUAGGGAAACUUACGCUAAUACCGCAUACGACCUACGGGUGAAAGCAGGGGACCUUCGGUCCUUGCGCGCUUGAAUGCGCCGAUGUCGGAUUAGAUAGUUGGCGGGGUAAAGGCCCACCAAGGAGACGAUCCGUAGCUGGUCUGAUAGGAUGAUCAGCCACACUGGAACUGAGACACGGUCCAGACUCCUACGGGAGGCAGCAGUGGGGAAUAUUGGACAAUGGGCGCAAGCCUGAUCCAGCCAUACCGCGUGGGUGAAGAAGGCCUUCGGGUUGUAAAGCCCUUUUGUUGGGAAAGAAAUCCAGCUGGCUAAUACCCGGUUGGGAUGACGGUACCCAAAGAAUAAGCACCGGCUAACUUCGUGCCAGCCGCCGCCGUAA
This 506-nucleotide ribosomal RNA is filed under the name uncultured bacterium. Its description in RNAcentral is "partial 16S ribosomal RNA". It matches the Rfam family "Bacterial small subunit ribosomal RNA", at positions 29 to 523 of the family's 1533-position model. The record is from RNAcentral.